CGGGGACAACAGUCCGAAAGGAUUGCUAAUACCGCAUACGUCGGCGAGGUUUUCGAAUCUUGUCGGGAAAGGUGGCCUCUUCAUGAAAGCUACCACUGAAGGAGCAGCCCGCGGCCCAUCAGCUAGUUGGUGAGGUAAUGGCUCACCAAGGCAAAGACGGGUAGCUGGUCUGAGAGGAUGAUCAGCCACACUGGAACUGAGACACGGUCCAG
RNAcentral lists this ribosomal RNA (212 nucleotides) under uncultured bacterium. Its description in RNAcentral is "partial 16S ribosomal RNA". It matches the Rfam family "Bacterial small subunit ribosomal RNA", at positions 138 to 334 of the family's 1533-position model. The record is from RNAcentral.